RNAcentral lists this ribosomal RNA (301 nucleotides) under uncultured bacterium. RNAcentral describes it as "partial 16S ribosomal RNA". It matches the Rfam family "Bacterial small subunit ribosomal RNA", at positions 509 to 807 of the family's 1533-position model. The record is from RNAcentral.
CAGCAGCCGCGGGAAUACGGAGGGUGCAAGCGUUAAUCGGAAUUAUUGGGCGUAAAGGGUGCGUAGGCGGUUUGACAAGUCAUCUGUGAAAUCUAUGGGCUCAACCCAUAGUCUGCAGGCGAAACUGUCGGGCUUGAGUAUUGGAGAGGUGAGUGGAAUUUCCGGUGUAGCGGUGAAAUGCGUAGAUAUCGGAAGGAACACCUGUGGCGAAAGCGGCUCACUGGACAAUAACUGACGCUGAGGCACGAAAGCUAGGGGAGCAAACAGGAUUAGAUACCCCGGUAGUCCCUGUCUCUUAUAC